Molecule: non-coding RNA, 76 nt
Rfam family: Singlet oxygen resistance RNA X
About the family: SorX (RSs2461)like SorY is a singlet oxygen induced sRNA that counteracts oxidative stress by targeting mRNA for a transporter in Rhodobacter. It also has an impact on resistance against organic hydroperoxides.
ACCCGUGGGCACGUGCGGGAUAUCGCGUGCCACCCUCCCUGUUGGACCUGGCCGGGCACUGUGCCCGGCCAUUUUU